AGUGAACGCUGGCGGUAGGCCUAACACAUGCAAGUCGAACGGCAGUACAGGAGAGCUUGCUCUCUGGGUGGCGAGUGGCGGACGGGUGAGGAAUACAUCGGAAUCUACUCUGCCGUGGGGGAUAACGUAGGGAAACUUACGCUAAUACCGCAUACGACCUACGGGUGAAAGCAGGGGACCUUCGGGCCUUGCGCGAUUGAAUGAGCCGAUGUCGGAUUAGCUAGUUGGCGGGGUAAAGGCACACCAAGGCGACGAUCGGUAGCUGGUUUGAGAGGAUGAUCAGCCACACUGGAACUGAGACACGGUCCAGACUCCUACGGGAGGCAGCAGUGGGGAAUAUUGGACAAUGGGCGCAAGCCUGAUCCAGCCAUACCGCGUGGGUGAAGAAGGCCUUCGGGUUGUAAAGCCCUUUUGUUGGGAAAGAAAUCCAGCUGGCUAAUACCCGGUUGGGAUGACGGUACCCAAAGAAUAAGCACCGGCUAACUUCGUGCCAGCCGCCGCGGUAA
Molecule: ribosomal RNA, 506 nt
Filed under: uncultured bacterium
Lineage: Bacteria
Description: partial 16S ribosomal RNA
Rfam family: Bacterial small subunit ribosomal RNA
Source: RNAcentral